AGUAACUGUCAAAAGAAGGAACGUUCCUGACCUCGGCCCAAGGGUAUCGCUGUGCUCUGGUUUGUAUUAGCUUCAGCACCGCUGCAAUCUCACUGAAGUUCCUGUAUCCAGCCUCAUGCUUUGCUGUGCCUGUAACUGUCUUCUCCCCACAGAUAACCUGUCAUUGAAGUACAUGAAGAAAAUAGUCAAAUAUGUGCCCAUGGGUUUUCCUGAGUACUUCCUACAGGGUAUGCAGUCCACUCUGAAGAUCACAGCCUAGGACCAUAAGUAUGCAGUGAAUAUCUUAAAGACAAUAAAGCUCUAUCCACAGAAUUCUGAGGAUGGAGCUGAUGCUGGAAAAUCAGUAUUCUCUUAGGCAAUGUUACAUCAUCUCCUUAUAACUAUGCUACAUGCUCUCAGUAUUAUUUAUAUCAUCUUUCCUUCCCUUCCACCCAACAGUCUCAUUUCAAGAGAUUUAACCUAAAAAGAUACAAGAACAGGUGCACAUAUAUAUAUGGACAAGGUUAUGCAUCACAGCAAUUUUUAAAACAGCAACAAAAAUAAUAGCAAUAUGGUUAAAUGUGUCAAUCAUGUAUUGGCCUAUAAAAGUAUGCUAUUUCAUUAGUCUAUAGACUAAUUGGGCUACAGACUAACCAUUAAAUGCUUUCCUUCAUGUGGCACUAUACUAAGUGUUAGGAAUUCAAUUGUGAAUAAGACAACAGACAUGG
This 707-nucleotide long non-coding RNA is filed under the name Homo sapiens (human). Its description in RNAcentral is "OXCT1 antisense RNA 1". The record is from RNAcentral. Lineage: Eukaryota; Metazoa; Chordata; Mammalia; Primates; Hominidae.